Non-coding RNA from Microcebus murinus (gray mouse lemur), 1331 nucleotides. The record is from RefSeq and is a predicted model, not a curated record. NCBI's taxonomy places the organism in Eukaryota, Metazoa, Chordata, Mammalia, Primates, Cheirogaleidae.
CUUCCCUCACUUCCUACCCCGGAGGAAACAUUUCACAUGCAUUGCUUUGCACCUUGUUCUUGCUGCUGAACAAUAUUACCUGAAGAUCACAGCAGGCCGCCUGGCACCCUGCAGGGAAGGGUUGCGCCGUAGUUAUUUCGGGCAUUUGAGUUUUCAAACCCAGGCACCUGCAAACACCACGCCGAUUCCUCAGCCAGGGCUUGUUUAUGUUUGUUUCGUGGGAACCCCGGCCAAAGGUGCAAGGUCCUUCCCCCCUUUCCUACAGCCCUGUUACACACCGGCUCCUUCCCACGGUCCUGCGUGCUCCUUCCCUGCCUCCCACGCGGCCAGCGUCGCUACUCACGUUUUGCAGGGGGGGAAACCGAGGAGCUGAGAAAUCAAGUCACACACCUAAAGGAACAACUGGAAAGUGAUGGAGUCGGGGGUGUGAACUCAGGCUCCAGACGGCGCUCCUGAGCCCAGAGAGGUACAGGGACUCGGUCAAGGUUGCACAGCAGCACACUGGCAGCUCCCAGGGGUGAGGUGUCACUUUGCCAUCAGCCGGACACCUGAGCUUUCCUGUAGGGGCACCGUGGGGAUGAAGUGACCUGUUUGCUGGAAACUGUGUGGCACUGUUCCCAGGUCUGUGAUUUCCAAGUUUUGCAGUGCACUCUUCUAGUACAGAAUCCCUGCUACGAGGCCCUGUGGGCUGCACUGCGGACAAGCACGGAUCUGCACAAUCAAUAGUAUGGAAAUCAACAAAGCCGUUGGUCUCCGGGUCACCCGUGGAGACAGGAAAAUGCAGUUGGAGACUGGUGACCACCCACAGCAGUUCCUGAAUUGGGCCAUCAGACCCACCAGCAGGGAGGUGAUCUUGCCUCUCCCUGCUGGACAGGCAGUCCCACUGGGGGACGGAGUGGCCAGGCUGGGUCAGCGGCUGACAGUCAUGCAAUGACCACAGCUUGGGGACAGCAAACCGCUUCGGAGCCUUGCAAUCUUGGCGGAGUCUGCCUGAAAAGAUGACAAUCUGUAGCUCUUCUGCCACCUCCCCUGUCUCCGCAAAUAAGGGUUGGGUCGUUAGCGUUUUAAUUUAUUUAUUUAUUAAUUUUUAAAGAGACAUUUCCCCUUUCUCUCCUCGGGUCUGGAGUCAUUAAACAGGGAUUAGCUGGAUAAAUAGAGGAAGUGAUUUUUAAACUGUUUGCAAACUUAAUGUGAAGAGCCCAGCCUUGCAAAUUAUCACGUCUAAUCAGAGGCCCUCGCUUCACUGCUCCAGUAAUUGUACUGGUAUUAGUCAAAUUCUUGUUGUCUCCUCAUUAGCCGUGAAAAGGAGACUCAAGAUGUACUUCAUUAGA